AAUAUUGGACAAUGGGGGAAACCCUGAUCUAGCCAUGCCGCGUGUGUGAAGAAGGUCUUCGGAUUGUAAAGCACUUUAUGUUGGGAGGAAGGGCGUCAAGCUACUACCUUCAUGUUUUGACGUUACCAACAGAUUAUGCACCGGAUCACUCAGUGCCAGCAACCGCGGUAAUACAUAGGGUGCAAGCGUUAAUCGGAAUUACUGGGCGUAAAGCGCGCGUAGGUGGUUCAGUAAGAUGGGUGUGAAAGCCCCGGGCUUAACCUGGGAACUGCUUUCAUAACUGCUGAGCUAGAGUACGGUAGAGGGUAGUGGAAUUUCCUGUGUAGCGGUGAAAUGCGUAGAUAUAGGAAGGAACACCAGUGGCGAAGGCGACUACCUGGACUGAUACUGACACUGAGGUGCGAAAGCGUGGGGAGCAAACAG
Molecule: ribosomal RNA, 423 nt
Filed under: uncultured bacterium
Lineage: Bacteria
Description: partial 16S ribosomal RNA
Rfam family: Bacterial small subunit ribosomal RNA
Source: RNAcentral